This 356-nucleotide ribosomal RNA is filed under the name uncultured Microbacteriaceae bacterium. RNAcentral's name for it is "bacterial SSU rRNA". It matches the Rfam family "Bacterial small subunit ribosomal RNA", at positions 51 to 404 of the family's 1533-position model. Lineage: Bacteria; Bacillati; Actinomycetota; Actinomycetes; Micrococcales; Microbacteriaceae. The record is from RNAcentral.
ACACAUGCAAGUCGAACGAUGAAAGCAGGGCUUGCUUCUGCUGGAUUAGUGGCGAACGGGUGAGUAACACGUGAGUAACCUGCCCUUGACUCUGGGAUAAGCGUUGGAAACGACGUCUAAUACCGGAUACGAGCUAGGACCGCAUGGUCACUAGUUGGAAAGAACUUUGGUCAAGGAUGGACUCGCGGCCUAUCAGCUAGUUGGUGAGGUAACGGCCCACCAAGGCGACGACGGGUAGCCGGCCUGAGAGGGUGACCGGCCACACUGGGACUGAGACACGGGCCAGACUCCUACGGGAGGCAGCAGUGGGGAAUAUUGCACAAUGGGCGAAAGCCUGAUGCAGCAACGCCGCGUGA